Long non-coding RNA from Cebus imitator (Panamanian white-faced capuchin), 1688 nucleotides. RefSeq lists it as uncharacterized. NCBI's taxonomy places the organism in Eukaryota, Metazoa, Chordata, Mammalia, Primates, Cebidae. The transcript is spliced from 2 exons. The record is from RefSeq and is a predicted model, not a curated record.
UGUGCAUUUGGUUCACUCCAGUUAUCUUGAGGUCUGGGACCCAUGGGACUGGGGUGGCAGCUGAUCAUGUCAGGGGGACUCCUGCAUUGUCCCACAAGCACAGGAGAGAAUGCUAAACUUGAUUGGGAACUCAUGGAAGGCCCCUGGAACCCAGAGUUGGGGAGGCAAUAAGGGAAAUUUGGACCUGUAGAUACACUCAGAGAGAAGACGAUGUGAAGGCACAGGAAGGAUGCCCUGUGAAUAUCAGCACCAAGGCCUCCAAGCCUAGGAGAGAGGUCUAGAACAGAGCCUUCCCUUGCAGCCCUCUGAUCAAACUAACCCUCAAGUACCUUGAUUUUGGACUUUUGGCUUCCCGAAUUGAGCAAUAAUAACUUUCUGUUGAAGCUACUCAGUCUCGAAGCCAUCCAGUCUGCGGUGCUUAGUUUCAGCAGUCCUAGCAAACUUGCCUGCGACUUUCCAAAAUCACAGUUCCAUUUUGUCAUAGGGGAAGAAUUCUAAGAAGUUUUUUAUUUGGCUAAGUGAAGGAUAGAAGAAUAAUGAGCAUUUCCCUCAUCACAGCUCUGACAACUGCCUCAGCCACACAUGGCUUAUGAGAUUGGUCACGUCCUCCGCCUUCAGAUUGCAGGGGGCUUCAGUAAUACAUGUGUAGAAAUGUUUGGUCUUCUCAAUGCUGGGAAUCCAGGUAGAGUAUGGCCUGGCAUACGUGGAAGCCAGUCUUCUAAUGACCUCCUGGACACAGGCCUCAUUUGGGGAUCUCCUUCUCGGGCACUUCCUCUUUGGCUCCUGACCCAACCUUGUUGUGUCUCUCUUCCAUGCAUCCUGUACCAUCUCCGCUGUCUGGAACCAGCAACAUGAGGCUGCUCAGGACUUUGAUAUUGCUGCUGACUUCAGCAUGCCCCAGUCCAAACUUGCCCUUUUCCUCCUGAGUCCACAUCCGCUUUGCUCCCCAGUUCCCCAAUGUCGUCAUCCUUUUAAUCACAUGCUGACCAAAGAGUCAUAUUUAGCCACUCUCUAGUCCCUUCUGCUACAUCCAAUCUGUUGCCACAUCUCCUGAAUUCUUCCUUCUGAUUUCUUCUCACUCCUCCUUUCCACCCUGGGUCAGUCCAUUGGGGACCCAUGUCAGGACACUAGAUGACACUGUUUGAAUACUUGGAAGGAUCUGGUAAAGGAGACAGAGAAGUCUAAGGAGGGUUGGGGUGAGUCUGGGAUGGGCUGUGGGGUAGGCACCAGGUUAAGCUAAUUGGGGGAUGAGUGAGGGUAUCUGUUGCAUAUAUUUUAUGGUAAUAAAAGGAAGUUGAAAAUUCAGUUGCUUGUUUUGGGGAAUUAAAAAUGAGCAUGAAUGUCAAAGUGUGAGCAACUUUGCACAGAAUAGCAAUGUCAGUGUCAUGGAUCAUGGCAGAAGCCUUCUUUUUGUUGCCUGCAUUCCCUUCCUCUAAUAUUGUACACACUACCACCAGAUUUAAAUAUGUAGUUCUGAUUAAAUGCAUCAUUUUCUUUAUUCAUAUAGUCAAAAAACAUUUGCUGAGCAUAGUUCUCAUUAUUGAAAUUUAGUAGAAAAUGAGACUGAGUGAAUCCCUGUUAUUUUCCUACCAUUCCCUCCGUCAACUCCUGCUCCAAAUCAUUCUUUUAGGCUUACUCUUAGUCUUAGUCACCGUGUGUGUGUGUGUGUGUAUGUGUGUGUGUGUGUG